RNAcentral lists this ribosomal RNA (552 nucleotides) under uncultured bacterium. RNAcentral's name for it is "bacterial SSU rRNA". It matches the Rfam family "Bacterial small subunit ribosomal RNA", at positions 355 to 894 of the family's 1533-position model. The record is from RNAcentral.
UAGGGAAUCUUCCACAAUGGACGCAAGUCUGAUGGAGCAACGCCGCGUGAGUGAAGAAGGUCUUCGGAUCGUAAAACUCUGUUGUUAGAGAAGAACACGAGUGAGAGUAACUGUUCAUUCGAUGACGGUAUCUAACCAGCAAGUCACGGCUAACUACGUGCCAGCAGCCGCGGUAAUACGUAGGUGGCAAGCGUUGUCCGGAUUUAUUGGGCGUAAAGGGAACGCAGGCGGUCUUUUAAGUCUGAUGUGAAAGCCUUCGGCUUAACCGGAGUAGUGCAUUGGAAACUGGAAGACUUGAGUGCAGAAGAGGAGAGUGGAACUCCAUGUGUAGCGGUGAAAUGCGUAGAUAUAUGGAAGAACACCAGUGGCGAAAGCGGCUCUCUGGUCUGUAACUGACUCACAANGAGGUAAGANAGCGUGUGUCACAAACGGAANNAAAUACCCUGGUAGUCCACGCCGUAAACGAUGAAUGCUAGGUGUUGGAGGGUUUCCGCCCUUUCAGUGCCGCANCUAACGCAAUAAGCAUUCCGCCUGGGGAGUACGACCGCAGGU